This 909-nucleotide ribosomal RNA is filed under the name Leucosporidium himalayensis. RNAcentral's name for it is "partial large subunit ribosomal RNA". It matches the Rfam family "Eukaryotic large subunit ribosomal RNA", at positions 40 to 959 of the family's 3401-position model. Lineage: Eukaryota; Fungi; Basidiomycota; Microbotryomycetes; Leucosporidiales; Leucosporidiaceae. The record is from RNAcentral.
AUAUCCAUAGCGAGAAAGAACUACAGGAUUCCCCUAGUAACGGCGAGUGAAGCGGGAAGAGCUCAAAUUUGUAAUCUGGCACUUUCAGUGUCCGAGUUGUAAUCUCGAGAAGUAUUUUCCGCGCCGGACCGCAUACAAGUCUGUUGGAAUACAGCGUCAUAGUGGUGAGAACCCCGUAACUGAUGCGGAUGCCCGGUGCUUUGUGAUAUACUUUCGAAGAGUCGAGUUGUUUGGGAAUGCAGCUCAAAUUGGGUGGUAAAUUCCAUCUAAAGCUAAAUAUUGGAGCAAGACCGAUAGCGAACAAGUACCGUGAGGGAAAGAUGAAAAGCACUUUGGAAAGAGAGUUAACAGUACGUGAAAUUGUUGGAAGGGAAACGCUUGAAGUCAGACUUGCUAUUCGGAGUUCAGCCGCAAGGUGUAUUCUUCGAUUCGCAGGCCAGCAUCAGUUUUCGGGGGUGGAAAAUCGCGGUUUGAAGGUAGCAACCUCGGUUGUGUUAUAGCUUUCCGCUGGAUUCAUCCUUGGGGACUGAGGAACGCAGUACGCUUUUUGCAAGGCUCUCGAGCUUUUCGUACUUAGGAUGCUGGUGGAAUGGCUUUAAACGACCCGUCUUGAAACACGGACCAAGGAGUCUAACAUGCUUGCGAGUGUUUGGGUGUCAAACCCGGACGCGCAAUGAAAGUGAAUGGAGGUGGGAUCCGCAAGGUGCACCAUCGACCGAUCUGGAUUUUCUAAGAUGGAUUUGAGUAAGAGCAAUUAUGUUGGGACCCGAAAGAUGGUGAACUAUGCCUGAAUAGGGCGAAGCCAGAGGAAACUCUGGUGGAGGCUCGUAGCGGUUCUGACGUGCAAAUCGAUCGUCAAAUUUGGGUAUAGGGGCGAAAGACUAAUCGAGCAUCUAGUAGCUGGUCUGC